AGAGUUUGAUCCUGGCUCAGGAUGAACGCUAGCUACAGGCUUAACACAUGCAAGUCGAGGGGAAACGAUAGAGAAAGCUUGCUUUUUCUAGGCGUCGACCGGCGCACGGGUGAGUAACGCGUAUCCAACCUGCCCAUCACUUGGGGAUAACCUUGCGAAAGUAAGACUAAUACCCAAUGACGUCUCUAGAAGACAUCUGAAGGAGAUUAAAGAUUUAUCGGUGAUGGAUGGGGAUGCGUCUGAUUAGCUUGUUGGCGGGGUAACGGCCCACCAAGGCGACGAUCAGUAGGGGUUCUGAGAGGAAGGUCCCCCACAUUGGAACUGAGACACGGUCCAAACUCCUACGGGAGGCAGCAGUGAGGAAUAUUGGUCAAUGGGCGAGAGCCUGAACCAGCCAAGUAGCGUGCAGGAUGACGGCCCUAUGGGUUGUAAACUGCUUUUAUAAGGGAAUAAAGUGAGUCUCGUGAGACUUUUUGCAUGUACCUUAUGAAUAAGGACCGGCUAAUUCCGUGCCAGCAGCCGCGGUAAUACGGAAGGUCCGGGCGUUAUCCGGAUUUAUUGGGUUUAAAGGGAGCGUAGGCCGGAGAUUAAGCGUGUUGUGAAAUGUAGAUGCUCAACAUCUGCACUGCAGCGCGAACUGGUUUCCUUGAGUACGCACAAAGUGGGCGGAAUUCGUGGUGUAGCGGUGAAAUGCUUAGAUAUCACGAAGAACUCCGAUUGCGAAGGCAGCUCACUGGAGCGCAACUGACGCUGAAGCUCGAAAGUGCGGGUAUCGAACAGGAUUAGAUACCCUGGUAGUCCGCACGGUAAACGAUGGAUGCCCGCUGUUGGUCUGAAUAGGUCAGCGGCCAAGCGAAAGCAUUAAGCAUCCCACCUGGGGAGUACGCCGGCAACGGUG
RNAcentral lists this ribosomal RNA (898 nucleotides) under uncultured bacterium. Its description in RNAcentral is "bacterial SSU rRNA". It matches the Rfam family "Bacterial small subunit ribosomal RNA", at positions 8 to 896 of the family's 1533-position model. The record is from RNAcentral.